Molecule: ribosomal RNA, 46 nt
Filed under: Magnusiomyces capitatus
Lineage: Eukaryota; Fungi; Ascomycota; Dipodascomycetes; Dipodascales; Dipodascaceae
Description: partial 28S ribosomal RNA
Source: RNAcentral
UUACGCCUCAUAUCAAGCAAGACUACCCGCUGAACUUAAGCAUAUC